CAACUUCGUAUUUUAUUUGGCCUUUUUAACUUUUUUGGAUUCGAGCGUCACUGAUGAGUCUUUUGUAGAUGAAACACGUGUCUGGCGUAUAUAUAAAAUUUAGUCCUGGUAUCUAUGAUGAGUUUAUUGAACAAUCAUGCUUCUGGUUUUAGUAGUGAAUUGAUCACAUGAAUUGAGGCAUACAUUUCAAUAAGUACAUCCAAAUGAAUGAAUCAACCAUUGUUGAUCUCAAACAACAGGAACAUCUUGGUUGAAAAAUAAAAUGCAGUUGGUAGGGAAUGGAAAAUUUAUUGCUGUAAUGAUAAAUACAUUUAUCUAAUAUUUACACAAUUUGUACAAUUUUAUCAAUACAUUGUUAUACAUAUGCCUUAAAAAUACACAUGAAAGUCUAUUUUGAAUUGUUGUUUAUAGCCUUUUUAUCACAUCUCCAUAAUGCAUAAAAACUAAUUAAAAAGUAAUCAAGCUUUUCACUCAGAAAGCAUCAAACUUAAACAAGCUACAUAAUGGAUGUACACAAGAUUUAAAACUUAGUACAAUAUGUGUACUAUGGAAAACAAAAUUAAGCACUAAUAAACUACUGUACAGAGCCCCUGGAUUUUGAAAUGAACAGAAUAUACCAUAUAUGUGUUGCCUUGGUGUAGGCUCUUCUUUGUGCUUUCUGCAGCAUACAAUUAAUACUAUCAAACUGAAAAUGAGUUUUUAUUUUUGCCAAACCAAUCCUGUUGCAAUGUUUGCAAUAAUGGAAACAUCUGAAUUGUACUUGGUUAAAAAUUUAAAUAUUUGGUUCACCUUUACCAAGGUCAAUGAAAAUUUGGUACCCAUGAAUAAAAAUGCAUCCACAGAACAUACUGACUGUUAUUUUUUCUUCUUCAGAUGGCUAUAAUGUUUCACACAAGUAUGUCUCAUGUCUUAACAGGAUUGAAACAGCACAAGAAAAAGUUAACAAGAAAAAAGCACCAAGCUGAUUUUUUAGAAUUACAUGUAUAUGAAUUUCCAUAUAUUUAUAAAGCAGCAAAUGCAUAUCAAUCCAUUUCAAUCACUAGUAUAUGAAAAUAAGGACCUUUUACAGACUUUUGACCACUAUUCCAUUAUUGAAUAUAAGUUUGUCGCUUUUAAGAAUUACACAUGAUGAAAACUAUGUCUUUCUAUGCUGAAGAACUGGAUCCAUCCUAGCUUCAGCCUUAUAGUAAAAUGGAAAAGACCUUAGAGCAUAUAGAAUAAAUAUAUCUGAAGUUGAAAUGACAAAAGAUUUCAGUAAGCAUGAUCAGGGAUCUCCAUGGCCUGUUAAAUGAUGGCGCCCCGCCAUCGUUCAAAUGUCUUGCGCCAUCGUCAAAUGACUAGCGCCAUCGUUAAAUUGUCUUGCGCCAUUGUUAAAUUGUCUUCUGCCAUCGCUCAAAACUUCAUCGUUUUUUGUAGCCCGACACCAUUUUUUUUUUUUAUCAAUUAUAAUCAAAUGCAUGUAAUUGCAUAACCCUUAGGCUUUUUAUGUUAUAAUCCAAUACAGUUCUAACGCCAGAGGGAUAUCCGGAUUAAGAUCGCUAAUCACUUGUACCUGAGCUUGUACAGGUAGAUCAACAAACCAGUCAGGAGAAUACUAUCUGAGGAUAGACGAUCCAUUUGUCGAAUUAAUCAACUAAGUUUCAGCAAAUGAUUAUGAUAAUUUGGAUUAAAUAAAUAAAUUAAUAAUCCAGUUACAAAGAAAACAGUUUAACAAGUCAAACACGUGCUUUAUUUUGACUUACGCAAUCCCCCUUUUUAAGAAGUACAAAAUAAGACGCAAAACAGUAAAUAUUAUUUCAUCGCAAAUAACUCGAGUACUGCUGUAACUAUUCUAUAAUAUAUAUGUUUCUAUAAUGAAAAUUCAAAUAAAUAUAAUUUAAAUAAGCAAUGAAUUAGCAUGUUCACCAUUCCUUGUAUGGAGGGAUAAAAUACUUCCGAUCGCGCUACACUGUACAGCGUAGACACGCUUUGUAAUUGUGAAAGUUCCUCCAUCGUUCAAUUUUCAUCCAUGGAGAUCCCUGAGAUUAAGAAAAUAAAUAACCAAAACUACACAUUUCAGUAAUGUUACAAACAAGUUGUGGAAUAGUUCCAAUCAAAUUACAAUACAGAUCCUGUGUCAAAGCUUUGCUUACAAAGAUCUGUACUUACUGUUCUAGUAAUUAUUACAUCAGCCAAUGAAAUUUCAGCCUUCAAAUCUUUAAAAGUAUAUAUUGAUUUGACAAAACCAGAGAAUCUUGAAAUGUCUUGAGCUGAAAGGAGAACUGUUUUACAGGAAAGCUUGGACAAGGGAUCUGUAUUUUAAUAGGAUUGGAAUAGUUCUAUCAUAUUAAAUAAUGAGACAGAUCAUAAAAACAAAUUGAAGACAGCUUCAAGUACAAAAUAUCAAUUAAAUUGAGAUCAACAGCAGAAAUA
RNAcentral lists this long non-coding RNA (2412 nucleotides) under Mytilus galloprovincialis (Mediterranean mussel). Lineage: Eukaryota; Metazoa; Mollusca; Bivalvia; Mytilida; Mytilidae. The record is from RNAcentral.